UACGUAGGUGGCGAGCGUUGUCCGGAUUUACUGGGCGUAAAGCGCGCGCAGGCGGGCUGGUCAGUCCGGGGUGAAAUCUCACGGCUCAACCGUGAGCGGUCCCCGGAUACUGCCAGUCUUGAGGUGUCUAGAGGAGAGCGGAAUUCCCGGUGUAGUGGUGGAAUGCGCAGAUAUCAGGAGGAACACCAAUGGCGAAGGCAGCUCGCUGGGACGGUAUUGACGCUGAGACGCGAAAGCGUGGUGAGCAAACAGG
Molecule: ribosomal RNA, 253 nt
Filed under: uncultured bacterium
Lineage: Bacteria
Description: partial 16S ribosomal RNA
Rfam family: Bacterial small subunit ribosomal RNA
Source: RNAcentral